Molecule: ribosomal RNA, 382 nt
Filed under: uncultured bacterium
Lineage: Bacteria
Description: partial 16S ribosomal RNA
Rfam family: Bacterial small subunit ribosomal RNA
Source: RNAcentral
AUUGAACGCUGGCGGCAUGCUUUACACAUGCAAGUCGAACGGCAGCGGGGGCUUCGGCCUGCCGGCGAGUGGCGAACGGGUGAGUAAUGCAUCGGAACGUGCCCAGUCAUGGGGGGAUAACUACGCGAAAGCGUAGCUAAUACCGCAUACGCCCUGAGGGGGGAAAGCGGGGGGAUCGCAAGACCUCGCGUGAUUGGAGCGGCCGAUGUCGGAUUAGCUGGUUGGUGGGGUAAAGGCCUACCAAGGCGACGAUCCGUAGCGGGUCUGAGAGGAUGAUCCGCCACACUGGGACUGAGACACGGCCCAGACUCCUACGGGAGACAGCAGUGGGGGAAUUUUGGACAAUGGGGGGCAACCCUGAUCCAGCCAUGCCGCGUGAGUG